Small nucleolar RNA from Trichomycterus rosablanca, 232 nucleotides. RefSeq annotates it as small nucleolar RNA SNORA53. Lineage: Eukaryota; Metazoa; Chordata; Actinopteri; Siluriformes; Trichomycteridae. The record is from RefSeq and is a predicted model, not a curated record. The transcript has a single exon.
GACACGCUCCUUAGAUCCACCUCUGGGGAAUCCUCCAUCACUGAUUCUGUACUCUCUGUACUGAGUGCUGCAGCUUUAGUGUGGAGGUUCCCAGCAGCUUUUCUGGCUGGACAGUUGGAGGUGCUUGAGUCAUUGGCGUGUGAGAGCAGUCUACCUGCACCUUCAGCCUAGUUGCUGCCCUGGCACCUUUGCUGGACUUUUACCAGAGCAGAUGAGCUGAAGAGCGGACAUG